UAAAACAUAAAGCAGAAGUAGACAAAUUAUGAAUUAAGCUUGUACCUAGGUCUGACACAGCGAUGCACACUGUCCUGAAUCCUUCAACUGACCAUUAAGUUAAAAACAAACCAACACACACCCAGAUCAAUAUAUAAUUUAGGCUGCCACAGUGUUCAAACACUAACCCAGAAUGAAAGAGUAUAUUUGAGGACAAGCUACAUUCAUUCCUUUUCUAAAGUGUACUACUACAACCUUAAUUGCAUGGCUGUAUGUAUGCACAAAUAUACAGCAAAUUCAAUCCAGGUAAACACAUAGGCUUUACCAUUUUAAAUUUUGUUUUUAAAUCAAGUCAUUUACUUAAAUACCUUACACUCACUUCCAAGACAGGAUUUCUAUCUUACAAGUCAAUCUAUGAAAACUGUUUCGUGUGCUUCAGAGCUUCUGGAUGUAUGAUCAAAUACUUGCAGAACUUCAGAAUUACAUUACAUAAUGUGGAGUUAAUAGUCUGAUAUCUACUAUAUAAUGUCAAAUACUUAAAAUUGCAGUUCAUUAAUCAGAAUGAAAGGAGUAUAACUGCUUGCUUCAGACAUUUCAGGAAAACAAUGAUUUAUACCUAGAUAGGAAACAGAAGGCAUCAGAAAUCUUUUGGUGCAGGAAGUAUACCUGCAUCUUGGAAUGAAGAGGAAUUUCCUAAUGCAUUUGUUUAGAUUGGAGUGGAGGUGCUUAGUGGGAACUACUAUCUACACACACUAUGAUGAAACUCUCAUGAAUUCCAGGGCAAAUUAAUAGGAUUGUGUUAUUAAUUAGCUAAUACAAGCCAUGCCAUCUUUACUUAAGGUAAAUGCAUUUCUUCACAGAAAGGUAAAAAACAAAUACAACUCAGCUUUUGGAUUUCAAAAGUCUGAUGUUAUUAAUCUGCAAGAACACAAAAAUUCUUUCAACCCUCUAUGUGGAUUUCUUUACACAUUCUAGUUUAAUUUAUACUUCUAAAUUAAACAUGAGUGAAUGUUAUAAACAUAUUGUUUGUCUUCUGGGACACAAAUUAAUCAUACUCAUAUUUACAACUGAACAGCUAUCUAGACACUUCAGAAAACUCAACAGUGCUGCAGUAGUGAAAAAAGCUAAUGAACUAAUGUUGAAUAUGUAUAUCCAGCACAGGAGGCCAGAUCUGAACACAAAACUGAUCUGAUAAGAGUGGUCUGAUAUAUGUAUAUAUAUAUUUUAAAUUAUAGCAGAAGCACACAAAUGGAAAACUCUGAUAGGCUUACCCCAAAGAAAACACAUUUUCAGAAGUUUUUCAACAUUCAGAGAAUGCAAAAAACUUGUGGGAGUUGGGCAGAUGUUGAAAGGGGAAGUGUUUUGUUUUAGAUGGAAAUAUGAAGUUGCCUUGAGAAUAAAGACAGCGAAAUCAUAUUAGAUUUUUUCCUCCAUGUUGCUAAUGUAGGUGGGCUCAGAAAACCCAAGCUGGUGCUAUAUCAUUGGCAUUUUCUUCCCAAGUCUGCUGUGAGGGCAAACUGAGAAACACAACCAAGUGAGAAGUAGUUUUCUCAAAUCAUUUAGAGUACAAACAGUUAAGGAUUUCAUGCCAUCACCCCUCUCCAAUACAGAUACUCUAGUCUCAUUCUCUUAUUAAAUAAUGUAUUAGUUUUACAGUUGUUUGACAUUCUGUUGAUCUGUCAAAGGGAAGCCAACAGACCACUGUCAUCAACAUAAGGGGCUAUGCACAAAGCGAGGUGCUGGUCACAGUGCAAAGUCUGCUGAACUUGGUCAGAUUUAUAAGGACCUCAAGAAGGGUGUUAGCUCAAAAGGACAUGACCUAAUUAAAAAAAUAAUAAAUCGGGGAGAACAUAGAAGAUGAGAAGGAAUAUAGUUCUCUCAUUAAAGCAGCUCAUCUGAAAGUCUGCUUGACUGAAGCUUCCAAGUCCCACAGAUUCCUGUGAUACCCAAUUUUAAUUUGGAAAUUGACUCAGAGGUGAAAAUAAAAAAAGAAACCAAAAUACUUCCUUACAGAAUCUUAACUUGUUCCAUGAUUAUAAGGGGAUAUGGGCCAUAUGUGUGUAUGUGGAGUCAUCAGAUGUUAGGGUUUUCCCCCCUUAGUUACACAGCAUGGCUUUUCCUUAAAUGAUGCUGAUUGUGACACUUUUUUGAACUGUGAAUAAACAAUCACGUUAUCUAAAGGCAUCAAGGUAUCCUGUCUUGUGUGGUUUACCUUUAAGACUAUCAGAAAUAAUAUAGCUGCUCUGCAUUACAACAUGAAAUUAAAUUUUAAUAUUAGGUUUUCUUAAGAAAAAAAUUCUCUGAACAUAUUUAUCCAGGUAACAUGAGCUGUCUAUGUCUGGCAUUACAGUUGAAAAAAUGUCAGGUAAAAGGACCCUUUAAAGAAAUGGUCUUUUUAGACAUCAGAUUGUGACAGCACCAAGCUUCCUAGUAAACAGAUACAGGACCUAAGGGAUGCCUGUAAUGCUUAAAGGCCAGAUCCAAGUAGCUUGGUUUUUUAGCCUGUUUAAGAAAACAUGGAAAACUCUCUUAUUUGUGUUAAUGAAUAUUAAAGAUGUACACACCUGUGAGGCCAGGGAGGUCUUCCUUCCAUUUAGGAAGUUUCUUAAAGCUCUGGACGGGAGAGAGGGUUAAGAGCUAGCUUUUCAUUACCUAAAUCAUGCACAAGUCAAUAUAAGCAAACAUUGGGGUUUAGGAUUUAUCUGGGUAAGUGAGGACAUUCACACCUGAGCUGGUCAUACUGGGCAGAAGCAGAUCUGAUCAGGGUACUAUAAAGUUUCAAAUAUGGUUCGUAUUGCAGCAGAAAUCCAAAAUUUGGAGGUUUGUAUCUAUUUGACUCAUUUAAUGACUAAGAUUACAGAUUUAACAUACCCAUCUAAAGUCAGGUGAAAUAAGUUCUACAUUAAGUGCUUAUGAUACAGUGAUUCCAAUUUACCUGGAAAUACAGUUGACAAUCCAUUGAAGCAUGAGUUAACAUCACCUUACAGACUUGUUACCUAGGUAUCAAACCAUGUAUUUGUAAGCACAGGUCCCAGAGGAACACCAAAAUGGAACCUGACAAAAAGAUGACUGCUUUGGGAGGAACAAGUCCUUGGUUUUGCUCACGAUUUCUGAUGCUUCCUACAUCUGAUGUUUAAACAUUACUGAGUAAAAUCCAUGAAGCAACGCUGGGAGCAGGGACAAGAUCCAGCCCAUCUUUUUCCCCUCUUCCUCUGAGGAUCCCAGUGUUCCCAUUGUAAAAUCUAACUCCUCCUUUUCCCUUUCUCUAGCAAGUGAUCCAGAUUGUCUUCAACAAUGGAAGGUGGGGAGUCAGCAUCCCACCAUCUGAACCCAUUUGCCCCAGGUUUGAAUUCCCAGAGACUGCAGAAACCCUAGCAUUUAGAGCCUGUGCCGUUUUUACUGGUGUUCAAACCAACAGACAUUGUCAUCCACAACAACUGUUUUCUAUUGUAUGGUAUUGUAUGCCUUUAAGCUUACAAUACAGUUACCAUCCGAGACCUCCAUAACAGCGUCUCAACUCCUUGCACAACUAGUGAAGACUAGUACUCACAGGUUGACAAUUCCCAUCUUUCUGUUGUUUAUACAGGGAGGUAAGCGGAAAGAAUAAUUCUUAGCCAAUGUACUUACUUUUUAAGCACUGCAACACCUACUUUAAGGGUCAGAUGCUGAUCACCAAUUUUAGGCUCUAGUACUAUCAGUAGGGAAUUUAUGAGCAAAGCUACCUCUUAAGGAAAUUUGUAGUAUUGGUAUUGCCUUGCUGCUGAGGCCAAAGGACAUUCCAGUGGUAGGUAACACGAUAUAGUAGAAACAUUACUUCAUUAAGACUCUAACGAAGUCCGUGGGAGCUGAAGCCACUGGUAUGUGGCUGUAUGUGUCCAAGGCAUAUUCUGUUUCUCACAACACCAAGCCAGAAAAAUUAUGUUUCAAAGCACUGCUAUUCUCUCCACCUCAUUUACUAAAGCCUUUAAAAACCUAGAAUUGUCUCAAGGAUUUGGACCUCUUUACUAAAACAUAAAUUAACUUCUUGUGCUGUUUGAUGAAAGAGGAAAUACAUGAAGAAUGUUAAAAGGUAGAAGACCCCUAGGCUAUGGCUAGUUUCCUCUGGCAUAUAAGAGUGGAGCAGAUUAUUUCAUGACACUGGAAAGCCAUGCAAGUGCCUGUCUGGAAGCAGUGUGGAGGGACGAAGCUUUCUAGAAGAUGCGAGUCUGAAGCAAGCAAGAAAUAGAGCAUCCUUUGUUCACAGCUGGGAAAUGAGUGAUACUUGAAACAGGUUUUCAAAAAAUUAUUCAUUGCUAUAAUUUGAUACUGACAUAUAUGAUGUGGAGUACUACAGGCAGCAAAGUCAUGGAAUAAGAAAGGUGAGAAAAUAAGACUAUAUGUCACAAGGUUUAGAACACAAUGAUACCUUCCCCCCUCUGAAAUCUUGCUGAGCACUGAAUCACGGAAACAAUGAAUAGUUCAGGAUCCUCAAAAGAGAAUAGCUGGGAGUCCCAGCCACCAAAGUAUGUUAUCACAAUAAGAAAACAGAGAACACAGUGACACAUGCAUGAAUGAAGUAAGAGUUAUAGCUUUUAUUUCAACUGAGUCCCCAGUGAUGUUCUUUUAUACCACUAGCACACAUCUGGGCAACUGUCUUCACCUUAGUAUUGUCUCACUCUGGAAGCCAGUUAAAUCUGCCUGGGACCUACACAUCUGCACUUCCAUGAGAAUUUUAGACAGAAAAACAUCUUUAUCCUGUGCCUCUUACUUGAAUAUAUAACACUAGUAAUAUUGGUAAGAGGAAUGUCAUGAAGGCACACAGAACAUUUUGUCACUCAGGAUAAGUUAAGAUCUUGAGAGAGAUUAUUUGGUUUACAGUAGGAUGUUAUACUUCAAAUAGUUUUAGGCCAGUAGAGACAAAUAUCUUUGAAAGCAAUAUGGAGCCUAUAUAGUUUCUAGGUAAAAGGGAAACCGUAUUAGGAGAAAAAUAUGAUUAGCUUUGCCAUCUUAGAAAGAGAGGGAUAUACAGGAGACAAAAUUAAGAAACCAAUAAAGGAAAAAUAAAAAAAAAUAAAAAAAAAAAACCUCUUCUGUUUUAGGUCCUGUUAUUCCACAAGACAGAUAUUUCAGAAGGAGCAGGGUGGAGAAAAUAAACCAUCAAGGCAGAGCUACCCCUAGUAAUGACUCUUCCAGGCAUUUCUGCAGAAGGUGCAGGAGGUAAAUUAGUUGCUAUUUAGCUUUGAGAGGGUGCUAACUCUAAGAAAUUAUUGUUCCUUAUUAGCAACACAUCUGCUGGAACUAUUUCUUGUUCAACAAUAGCUCAAAAAGGAAGGAGGGAAGAAGUGUGGAAACCACUGAAUUGCAAAUCAUCAGCACUUCUCUCACCUUAUGACUUCUGGGUAGGAGUGAGAACAUACUUUCAUCAAAUGCAGCAUGAAAGCUGCAAAACCUUAACUGAUGUUAAAAAGUAGCCCCAACUGAAUGGGAAAAAGAAGAGCAAGUGUGAAGCAAGCUUCUGUUCAGCAUUCAUGUUCUUGCUGACUUCACUGAGGUAGAAGCUGACUCUGAGCAGCAAGAUCACCAGCAAUCAGUUCAUCCAUGGCCUGUGUGCACAGGCUGCAUCACUAGAAAUCAUCACUUUCAUAGGCCAGGAUGACAAGAGGAGCAAAAGCAUGGAAUUACCUUCAGUAUUUAUCAUUUGCUCAGUACUUCUGCCUGUGGAUGAGCAAACCUAACAUUGGUCUAUACAAUGUAAAGGAGAAAAUGGAAGUUGCAUCAGAAUUACUUUGAUAUAAAUAAUUCAGCGCUUCUCUAAGACUUAUUAUCAUUGUAAUAAAUUCAGCAGCAAUUGACCCAACUUCCAUUGCCAUAACCAAAAAUGCUUGUGACCUAGCGAUCAGAUCUUGGAGAUGGAAAAUGUCCAAAAUCCACACUUUCUAAGAGGGUCCAUAUCUUGAUACUUGUCCUCAAGACCUAGGAGCUGUACCAGGACAUUGAAGAUGUGAUGGUCAUACUGCACUGUCCUAGGCCAACAGGACUCCGCUCCAUCCAAGACUUCAUAGAAGCAGAUCUUGUCUGGCAGAGGAGAGAUGAUAAAAGAUGACUGCUCUCCUGGAUAUAAAUGUUUCUUACUGGAAGAAGGUUACAUGAUAUAUACAGAAGUAAAUUUUACCUUUCUAAGAAAAAAAA
Long non-coding RNA from Pezoporus occidentalis (night parrot), 6147 nucleotides. RefSeq lists it as uncharacterized. Lineage: Eukaryota; Metazoa; Chordata; Aves; Psittaciformes; Psittacidae. The transcript has 2 exons. The record is from RefSeq and is a predicted model, not a curated record.